Molecule: ribosomal RNA, 477 nt
Filed under: uncultured crenarchaeote
Lineage: Archaea; Thermoproteati; Thermoproteota
Description: bacterial SSU rRNA
Rfam family: Archaeal small subunit ribosomal RNA
Source: RNAcentral
GCGCGAAACCUCUGCAAUAGGCGAAAGCUUGACAGGGUUACUCUGAGUGAUUUCCGUUAAGGAGAUCUUUUGGCACCUCUAAAAAUGGUGCAGAAUAAGGGGUGGGCAAGUCUGGUGUCAGCCGCCGCGGUAAUACCAGCACCCCGAGUGGUCGGGACGUUUAUUGGGCCUAAAGCAUCCGUAGCCGGUUCUACAAGUCUUCCGUUAAAUCCACCUGCUUAACAGAUGGGCUGCGGAAGAUACUAUAGAGCUAGGAGGCGGGAGAGGCAAGCGGUACUCGAUGGGUAGGGGUAAAAUCCGUUGAUCCAUUGAAGACCACCAGUGGCGAAGGCGGCUUGCCAGAACGCGCUCGACGGUGAGGGAUGAAAGCUGGGGGAGCAAACCGGAUUAGAUACCCGGGUAGUCCCAGCUGUAAACGAUGCAGACUCGGUGAUGAAUUGGCUUAUUGCUAAUUCAGUGCCGCAGGGAAGCCGUUAA